Molecule: non-coding RNA, 801 nt
Organism: Camellia sinensis
Lineage: Eukaryota; Viridiplantae; Streptophyta; Magnoliopsida; Ericales; Theaceae
Source: RefSeq, a predicted model, not a curated record
CACACAGAACAAACCAAACAACAAACAGGCCGUCGUUUGCUCUCCUUCUCAUAUCCCCAAUCGCUCUCCCUCUUAUCAACUGACCAUUGCCCAUCGCUUAUCGUCCCUCUCAUCGACGGUGAUCACCGUCCCUCACUGUGUCUCACCGUCUCAUCGCCACGGUCGGUACACCGUCUAGCCUCCAAUCGAUUUUGAUUCAGCUCUCUCUCUCUCUCUCUCUCUCUCUCUCUCUCUAUUUCCCUAUUUCACUCUAGCUCUAGGGUUUUUAUUUUGUUCUCUCUCUCUAUCUCUCUCUAUCUUAAGAGAUGAGAAGCAAUUUCUCAAACGUGAGGACAGAAUUUGUAUUUGCACCUUUCACGCAAAUGGAGGAACGGAGCGAGUGGAAGAACCGGUGGCAGGUCCAAUUGUCAGAGCUGAAGAGAAGAAGCAUGAAUAAGAACGCUCAUGGGAAUAUGUCAUGGGGAGCACGAAUGCGGAGGCAAAGAACUGACUCAUCAUCCACCGAAUUAUGAACGAAUUCGAGAUUUGAUAUGGACGUAUUUGGUAAUUUGGAGGGCCGAUGGUAGAAUAUGGACGUGUUUAAUCUGCCCUUUAUAUUUUAUUUUUGUUAAUAUUAGCAAACAUGUUUUUUGUUGGAUAUUAAGAGAUGUGUUUGGUAAUCUGCAUACGGUUGAUAUUAUAUUUUUGUGGAUAUUAGUAGACGUUUUUUGUGGAUAUUAGGAGAUAUGUUUAUAAUCCGCAUGCAGUUCAUAUUAUAUUUUUAUGGAUAGUGCUAAAAUUCGAUUGUGAUGUUUAUGAAAA